Molecule: long non-coding RNA, 1616 nt
Filed under: Sus scrofa (pig)
Lineage: Eukaryota; Metazoa; Chordata; Mammalia; Artiodactyla; Suidae
Description: lncRNA (ENSSSCG00040063665.1)
Source: RNAcentral
CAUUCAUCCACCAAUGGACAUUUAGGUUGUUUCUUUGUCUUGACUAUUAGGUUGUUUCUUUGUCUUGACAUAGGGGUGCAUGUAUCUUUUUCAAUUAUAGUUUUGUCUGGAUGGAUGCCCAGGAGUGGAAUUGCUGAAACAUGUAGUAAUGCUGUCCUUAGUUUUCUGAGGAAAACCUGUUUUCCGUAGUGGCUGUACCAACUGAACAUUCCUACAUUGUUCAGGAAACUGUUUAACACUUAUUAUUCCUCUAUAUUACAUCUAGUGCAGUUGUUAAUAAAUAGAAGCUACCCAAGAGAUCAAAGCCUUUUUUCAAUGACUUAGGUCUUCAUCAUGAAAACUAUUAAUAGGACACCAACAUAAUAUCACAUGGGGUUCAUAUAUUUGGAGAGGUUUGAAAUUGUUGAUUUGAUGUGCAGAUUUAGCCUUCACUGCUGAAAAAUUUUUUUUCUCUCUUUCUGGGUCUUAACAAGGAAUCCGAGGAAGCUGAAUGAACCAGGUGACCCACCAUUUGCAUAAUGAACUUCUUCGGUUACACCACAUUCUGCAUUUAUCAAUGUCUAUUGCUUUCUGGAGAAGACUUUCGUUUUAUGGAGGAUGCAUUGCUCAAACAAAAGGUAAUUUACAAUAUUUUUUGAUACCAUAUACUUUGAAAUACAUUCUCAUCACAACGUCCCAAUAAAAUAGGGGGGAAAUGAGUUAUUUUCUUCAUUUUAUAGGAUAUCACACUAAGUCUCAGGGAGGUUAAGUGACUUCCAAAGGCAUGAAGCAGAGAGUAGUCUAUAGAGAUGUAUAAUUCCUAAACAUACAUUUUAUAGAAUCUUAUUUCCUAUUAACUCUUAAAGGCAAUAUUAAACUUAUAGCACUAAUGUUCUGCUGAUUUUAUUUGGGGGGGGCAUGGUUUGUUUUGAUCCAUACCCAUAGUAAGCAUGAAAGGAUAUCACAUUAUACCAGUCCAGUAGAAGAGGCAAAAAAUAUAUACCUCCUCGGUAGAGGGGCAAAGUAUAUACCUCCUCCAUAGAGGGGCAAAAGUCAACAUUCCUGUUGAUGUUCAGCUUGCAAAACCAAUACUAUCAUCAACAGGCAUGACAAAGUGUCUGUUCCAGUGUAUCCUACUACAAGAAAUGUACCUCCCUUCUACUAAAGACAUGUAUACUGUGUAUAUUUUUUGCCUCUUCUAUUGGUCCCAUGUAUUGUAUGUUUUCUAUAGGUAUGGAUCAAAAAGAAUUGAAACAUAGGCAUUUACAGAGUAUUGGUAAAAGUGAAAACAAAUCACCUGAUUAUGUUAGUUAAAUGUGAAACUGUGUUUCAAAAUGCCUUACGUCUUCCUAUUGUUCAGGCUUCUUAGUUUCCAUCAUUAGAAUUCACCUUAGCUAGUUUAAGUAAAAAAAGAAUUUAUGGAUACAUGUUGGAAGCUCAAAAGAAUUACUAGGCUUUGAACUCCAUUGUCAGAACAUCCCCUGCUACAGAAGUGGCCUGAGAAGAUGUCUCUAGACACUAAUGACGUCAGAACAACUUUGGCUCUGCCACAACUGAGAUUUUUAAUUUGAAAUGCUGUCACCUGCUGCCAGUUCCAGAAACACCAUGCUGAACUGGCUUGACUAGGAAUUUAUCAC